RNA transcript from Planococcus citri (citrus mealybug), 6858 nucleotides. RefSeq lists it as uncharacterized. Lineage: Eukaryota; Metazoa; Arthropoda; Insecta; Hemiptera; Pseudococcidae. The transcript has 26 exons. The record is from RefSeq and is a predicted model, not a curated record.
CAAAAGUCGGAAUUCCCGUGAUGAACAAGUAUGAAAAAAUUUUAAUUAAAUAUAAAUUCAGUUCUAAUUAGUGAAAUUAUCGCGAUUUUUACGUGAUGGUAUUCGCUUCGUGCUCCUAGAAUUUGUAUCGUUCGACGAAGAGUUCAUUCAUCGCUAUCGUAUUCCUUUCUUUUUGGCAGUUACCAAUGAAUGAUGAUAAAAUGAAACGUUCGACGGCGUUGUACGCGAUCAAGUGUGGCAGUGUCGUGACUAUGGUUAGUUUCAGUUCCAUAAGGACGGUGUCCUGUUGAGAUUAGCAAUCGUAAAGACGAAGAGAACGAUGGAUAGCGACGAUUAUCGCCGCCAUUCGCAUUCCGGUGGUUCUUCGCCUCCAGAUCCUCUGGCUCGGUUAUCGGAUUACGCUCAGGAGUCGUCUUGUUCGUCUUGGAGCUCGUCGGAUGAAUCGUUAUCGUACCACGCGGCAUCUCUGCAGUUACAACCAUCGCCAUCGCCACCACCACCGUCAACAGGCUCCAGUGGGGGCUGCUUCUCGUACCCAGAAACGAAUUGGCAGCAGCGGUACACGCAUUUGCAGGCAGAAAUGUCCAGAUAUCGCAGACAGGCCAAUCGUACGCAGAACAUGCUGCAACAAAAGUUGACGGAACUGGAAUUGCGAGUAGCCGAAGCCGAAUCGCGAGCCGAAGAUGCCGAAGAUAAGGUUCGUUUAAUGGAAGAACGAUUACAAAGCACGGAUUGGGCUUCGGGUUCGGCUGCAUCGAGUAAUGAGACAGUCGAACAAGAUUGCGAUACUGCCAUCACCAAGUUAGCGUCUCAAGUCGAAGAACAAAGACAGCUCAGACUUCAAGAUGCGAAAAUAGUCGAAGCGAAGGCGGCUCGUAUCAAGGAAUGGGUUGCGAAUAAAUUACGCGAUUUAGAAGCCCAAAAUCAGCAUUUGCGCGAACAGAACGAUAAAUGUAAUCAGCAAUUGGAGCUGCUGAAAAGGCAUAUGGCGCAGCUGAGUGCCGGUCGAUUGGCCGAGUCGGUUUCGGCUGCGACGUCCGAGUCUGUGUCGCGACCUUCGUCUCUUCCUAGGGUCAAUAGUACCGGAUCAAGCGAUAAUGUAAUAGCAGAUCGAGAACCUGUGUACGCGCAAGUUGAUAGACUGAGUAAGAAAACAACGAAUACGAACGAGGUGUUAACUCAUCGAAGAUAUCUGUCCGCAUGUACGUCAUCUGUGGUAUCGGAUAGUGCGACUUCGACAACUGCAACCCCUCAGGUUGAAAAUGAUAUCCAUUCAGCAGCCACACUGCCAGCUACUGUCAGACCUAAAUCGGUAUGCGUCGAUUCGGACAUGACUCACGAUUACGCCGAAAUAUACACGCCGAGUAGAGAGAAAUUAGCGUGGAACAGCGACGGUAAACCGCCGACUCCGCCUUUGCACAGGUUCCCGUCGUGGGAAUCGAGAAUUUAUCAGGUUGCCAACGAAGGUUUGUCAAAUUCACUGCCUAGUCAUUCGGAUCAAAGUCUGAGAAUACCACUUUUAUCGUCCUCGCAGCCGUACGGCAAUAGCGGUUAUUGCGAUAUUAGUUGCCCGGUUUACGCUACCGUUAAAGGGAGAGCGAGUCAAAUUAGAUCCAGUCCAUUUAGCGGCGAUUCUUCGGAUGACUCGUCCGAUGGUGAAGAUCAUAUUCAUAGUUUAAUAGCGUCCAAUUCGAGAACUACCAAUAGUAGUACGGAUAAUACAGCCGUGCGCGAUUCUAUUUCAGAUACGUCUAUGUCAAGCUCUAGUCCAAGUAAAAGUCAAAGUCAUAAGACCGCCUCCAGUUUGUCGCCUUUGAAACGCAGCUCGUCCGGAUCGCCAUCUAAAAAUACGUCUUUCGAAUCUGGUAUUUCAGACGAUUACGCCAUACCACCGGAUGCGGUAUCGUGUAGCGGCGAUUCAACUGACUGGUCAACGAUCGCAGCUACAACUAGUCCCAGUCACCAGCAAAAGCUAAAUAUGCCCGAAUUAUGUUUCGAAAAAUGCGGACAUCUGGCCAAACUCGGCGGUAAAUUGAAAACUUGGCGGAAACGUUGGUUUCAUUUGAGCACCGCCGGCAAAUUAAGAUACUGGAAAACGCAGGGUGACAUUAAUCGUAAACCUAGAGGGGAAGUUUUCAUAGACGAAAUGUGCAAGAUUACCAGAGCCGAAGGAGGAUCUACUUUCGAAAUUUCUACACCAAAAAAAACGUAUUAUUUGACCGCCGAUUCUAUACCCGCUAUGGAAGAUUGGCUCAGAAUAUUACAAAACGUCCAAAGAAAAAACGCCACCAAAUUAUUAUUAAGUAAAGAAAAUUUCAAACCUACGUUACAAGGCUGGUUAACCAAAGUACGCAACGGGCAUGCGAAAAAAUGCUGGUGUAUAUUAAUAGGAAAAUCGUUUUUGUAUUUCAAAUCACCCAGCGAAAACAAUCCUGGUGGACAAAUCAAUAUGAGAGAAGCCAGGGUAGAACAAGUGGAACACGUUUCCGAUAGCGAUAGCGACGAAAAAGAAGCCGAACCUGCGCAAAAUUUUACCAUCGGUAUUUUCCCUUCGUCGCAGCCUCCCACAUAUCUUCUGAUGCCGUCUAAACAAGAAAUGGAUUCGUGGUUGUAUCAUUUGACCGUGGUAUCGGGAGGUAUUCCCCAUGUUGGUACGCAGUACGAGCAAUUGAUCCAGAAAUUAAUGGAGAUUGACGGCGAUGCCAGUAAUGUGUUGUGGAAACACCCUUUGCUAUUGCACACUAAAGAAACAUUAACCACGUCAUUGACCACCCUGCCUUCGGAAACCUUGGUAAUGGAAGCGUUGAAAUUGUUUAAGUGCUGUCAGUUAUUCAUGUCCGUAGCUGUGGAAUCUGCCGGUAUCGAUUACCACGUGGUACUUGCUCAAAAUGCUUUGCAACAGUGUUUAGAUAAUUGGCAGUUGCAAGCGGAAUUAUUAUGCGCGUUGAUAAAACAAACGUCUCCGCAUUCCGCUCAUAAAAUGGGAGUCCAGGUACUCUCCAAACUACGACAUCGUCAAUUGUUGUUGUGCGCCUCACAGUCUCUGUUCGCUUGUGAUACGGCCGGUUCGCCGACAGUCGGAACGGUACCACCGAUGCCGGUCUCAACUCUUUCCAACGUCGACAACUGCAAAGCAAACCCACCCACUUUUGUAUUCCUCCAAGGAUGGCAACUGUUAGCAUUGGCUGUGUCAUUAUUCGUACCAAAAGAUCAUAAAAUAUUGUGGUUCCUCAAGUGCCAUUUACGUCGUAAUUCCGAUAUGAAGACUGAAUGCGGAAAAUAUGCCGCUUACUGCGAAAGAGCUAUCGAACGGACGAUUCAAAAUGGCAACCGAGAAAUGAAACCAUCUAGAAUGGAAGUGCUGUCUAUUUUAUUGAAAAAUCCUUACCAUCAUUCUUUACCACAUUCGAUUCCGGUUCAUUUUCUCAACGGCACUUACCAGGUUGUUGGUUUCGACGGAUCGACUUCGGUUCAAGAAUUUCUGAAAACUUUGACGCAAGAUGUCGGCUGUCGAGAUUCUAGCAAUUCCGGGUUCACAUUAUUUAGCGACGAUCCGAUCGAGAAAGAUUUAGAGCAUUAUAUCGAUCCUCAAACCAAAUUAUGCGAUGUGAUUUCAAAAUGGGAAACUGUUCUGAGAGAAAAAGGAUCUGGCAAAUUUGAAAACACCAAAGUUAUCCAAUUAGUGUAUAAGAAUCGAUUAUACUUUAGGCAUUCGAUGAAGAAAGAAACCGAUCGCGAACGAUUGCUGAUGUGUUAUCAAACCAAUCACCAGAUUGUAAAUGGAAGAUUCCCGUUGACCAAAGAAUUAGCCUUAGAAUUGGCCGCUUUAAUGGCUCAGAUCGAUUUCGGAGAAUUCAACAGCGAAAAAGGACGAGGCAGUGGAAGCGGUGGUGCUGGUUCGUCUUCGAAUUCCAAAGAUUUAAUGAUCUUACAAGCUGUCGAUAAGUUUUACCCCUAUCGAUAUCGUGACGGAUUGUCGCCCGAUUCGUUAAAAGAACUGCAAAUAUCGUUGCAAGAGAAAUGGUUUUCAUUGAAGGGCAGAUCUUUGUUGGAUUGCGUUCGAAUUUAUCUCACUUGUACCAGAAAAUGGCCAUACUUUGGAGCCUCUCUAUUCCAAGCUAAGAUAAGCGCGAAAGAAGAUUGGCACCGGUUAUCUUGAAGCCGUAAUUUCACGAAAUGCUAGCAACCAACGAGAAUACUCGACCGUAGGUAGUAGGUACUCGUACAAGUGAAGAUGGAGACGCGGAAUAAUUACGCAGUACGAAACAAAUUCUAGCAGCUAAACGUAGGUACCUAUAUAGGUAGAUAUAAAUUACGUGGAAGUAGAUAUCUACCUCGCGUGUAUAGGUACUGUAGAUAAUAAUGUAAAUGCAUCAAACUUACCUACCUCUGGAAUAAGUUGGCACAAUGAAGAUGUAAUGAGAGAUCCGAAACUUAAUCCUACCAGUACGUUCAUGACGUGUUCGCGAUACUCGCCGGUGAUCAGCGGAAGCAGAAUAUAACCCCAUAUUCCCGCCAAACUGAUGAAAAACGCCGAUCCUAACGAAUAUAUCCAAACUGCAGAAUCAAAACAAAAUACUCGAGAAUUCGCCAUGUGUCGUCGAUAACAUCUGUAGAUUGAUCAAUGAUAAUGACGUAUAGGUACCUCGAGAAGGAAGGAAAAAAUGAACAGAAUCGUACCAGAUUAUUCAAUCAGAUAGAAUUCGUCAUGUGUCGUCGGUUACAUCUUCCGCGGAUUGAUCGCCUGUACCUUGAGAAGGAAGAGAAAUGCAAACACGAGCGUAUGUAUCAUCAGAUUAACCAGAUAAGUGGAAAAUACCGCGAUGUUGUUUUUUUUAAGAUGAUUGUUCAGCGUGUGUUAUUCGUAGCGUUUUAAUGUGCUAUGUGGAUAAAAUUGCGUUAUGAUCAAAUCUCCCCUUUCUUCAGUAUUCUCCGACGAAUGUAUUGAAAAUUCCACCGAAAAAGGUUGAGUAGAUUAGGUGUUGUAGAUUUUUUUUUUUCAAAUCGUCAUUUUAGAAGUAUAUUUAGGGAUGGUAUAGGUAUUAGAAGAUUAGGUAUAUCUUUGAAUUUAUAUCGAAUAAUCAUUUUCGGCUACAUUUUUCAUCGGUUAUUCGAUGGUUAUUUUUUUGAAAAUUCGAUAGGUAGGUAGGUAUAGUUGAUGAGAUUUUGGAUCAAAAUUGAAAAAUGAUCAGGGGGCGAUGUAUUUGGCUAUUUUCAAAAUUAAAUGCAUAGGUAAGUGAGGCGCCGAUGUUGGUAUCUGGUCAACCUGGAGACCUCACAACAUCGGAAGAGACCCGGAGGAUUUUGCGAUGCCUACUGCGACCGCCCCCGGCAUCCGGGAUCCCACGUCGGCACGGUAGGGUCGCAUUAAACGAAGGGUAUAAGGGAUGGUGGGCUUUACAUCUUCAUCUACGUUUUUAACUUAGGUCGAAUCGCAGGUCGAAAGGUAAUUCAUCGUCGGUGGCGUUCUUUGGUACCUCGUGUACGACAUUUUCCUUCAAAAACACACUCGCGUGUGAUUUUUGGAGCGAACGAGUCGUAUACGAGUUAUCUGAGGCGUCGUCGGUGAUUGGUGGUGCGUGAAAGGUGCGUGUCGAAGCUGUAGGGUCUGUCCUUGUCGAUAGCAGCCCGUGAAAACGGAGCAGUUUGGUUCGCAUGCUAAAUUAGUCGCAACUGUAGGCCGACGGGCUGAACGUUGCGCAAAGUCUUUCGUGUCUGGAAGCUGGCAUCUGCUACGCCGUGUAGGAGGCGCGUGUGAAGUGUGCGCGAAGUUGGCGAAGGCUUCAAAAUAGGCAUAUGGGGUAAGAUUUGAGACAAGUCCGCAAGAACGGUACACUUGGUACAUAGGGGGCUUGCUCGGCGCCUCGAUAUUGGUACGGGCCAGAGGUUGGUGCGUACGGACCUCCGAGUCGACAGAGCUCGGACUGCCCUUGUGGCCGACUUAGGCGAGGUUAGGGUAGAAAUCCGUGCGCCGUCUACUUGCUUACUGCUUCCCGGCGGUACACGUGCCGACCGGGGUUUUUACAGGAUCGGCUUAUCAAAGAGGAUUUAGGCUGGCGCCUUUCAGGCGGUCUGUUAUCACUUCGUACGAGUGUAACUUUUAUUCCUACGCUGACGUCAGCGUGUUGUAAAUUUUACACUCGCACGAAGUUAUAACUGACCUGUCUGCGGGGUCAGCUAUAUACCUUGCCUUGAGGAUCAAGUUCAGCCUAUCUCGCAGUGUUGGCGCUUUGGUCGAAUGCCCGUGAAACUCAUGAAGCAUUCAACAGCACUGCCCGUGGUGAGUGUAGGGAAUUUGAGAUACUGUUCCGGAGAGUUGGGCCCGACAAAGGGUUCGAUUGUCUGGACUGUUGAGAGUGCGAGAAGAGCGGAUGUCGAUCUGGAUUUUUAUGCUUUGUUAGAACGUAGGUGAAGAUGUAAAGUCUUUCCGUCGUCGAAUAAGUCUAAAAAUACGUUUUUUUAAAGAGUUAUUUGUGAAGUACGAAGAAAAACGAAAGUUUAUGACGUUUUUCUCGAUCAAUUCGCGUAUCAUUUUUACAUCAAACUUUCAAGGUUUGGUCCUCACUGAGAAAGAUUGACUGAGUAGAAUCUGGUGAUUGGUAUGGCUGAGUCAGUACAGAGUAAUAAUACUUAUUAUCGAGUAUUUUCAAGUUCAUUUGUACGUAUUUGUAUUUGUGACGUAUCUUUUAUUAUUGAUUGUACAUUUCAUUGUGUUUUUGUAAUGACCAUAUCAUGGUUUUUCACUGUCGAGCGGCCGGCAGUGUUUUUUAUCCCAGAUCGGUCAGUUUUAUGUAGAAUUAAGUUUGUAUUUUGCUCCCUCUGCCGCUUGCUUUAAAAAUGAAUCUAAUUUGUGUGGUG